This 377-nucleotide ribosomal RNA is filed under the name uncultured bacterium. Its description in RNAcentral is "bacterial SSU rRNA". It matches the Rfam family "Bacterial small subunit ribosomal RNA", at positions 523 to 898 of the family's 1533-position model. The record is from RNAcentral.
AUACGUAGGUGGCGAGCGUUGUCCGGAGUUACUGGGUGUAAAGGGCGUGUAGGCGGGGAUAUAAGUCAGAUGUGAAAUUCCAUGGCUCAACUGUGGCACUGCAUCUGAAACUAUAUUUCUUGAGUGAUGGAGAGGAAAGCGGAAUUCCUAGUGUAGCGGUGAAAUGCGUAGAUAUUAGGAGGAACACCAGUGGCGAAGGCGGCUUUCUGGACAUUAACUGACGCUGAGGCGCGAAAGCGUGGGGAGCAAACAGGAUUAGAUACCCUGGUAGUCCACGCUGUAAACGAUGGAUACUAGGUGUAGGAGGUAUCGACCCCUUCUGUGCCGGAGUUAACACAAUAAGUAUCCCACCUGGGGAGUACGGCCGCAAGGUUGAA